GAUGGCAUUCAUAAUCAAGAACGGUCGAGGCAAGAAAGCCCAAAUGCUACCACCACCUCCCUAUAUGCCACCGUGUUAAACGCUUCUUGUUUGUUUAGCAUAUGUUAUGCCAAUUAUUUGGUUGUAUUAUUAAUUUAUUAUUGUAUGAUUUGCAAGGAUACUGUAAUCCUAGUUCUGCUAUUAUAUUGUAAGCUGGGAAAUAUCCUAGGUGCAUGUAGGUUUUGAUUAUUUCUAUUUCGUAGCCGCAGUACCGGCCUCUGCAAUAAAACUCAUACCUGCAUGAAUAAAUAUUUUCAUGGGUGAUCACCCCUCUUAAGGCUUUAUAUAAUUUGUACCUAUAAUCUAGAUGAUUAGCGUGUGUGUGUGGGAUCGUUAAGUUUUUUCAAAAACGAUUUUUUUUUAAUACUUUUGGGAGCACUCGAAACAAAGGCAACAGAUCGUGUGG
RNAcentral lists this long non-coding RNA (445 nucleotides) under Populus trichocarpa (black cottonwood). Its description in RNAcentral is "long non-coding RNA (PTRI_LNC004817)". The record is from RNAcentral. Lineage: Eukaryota; Viridiplantae; Streptophyta; Magnoliopsida; Malpighiales; Salicaceae.